GAUGAACGCUGGCGGCGUGCUUAACACAUGCAAGUCGAACGAAGCACCUUGGACAGAUUCUUCGGAUGAAGUCUUUGGCGACUGAGUGGCGGACGGGUGAGUAACGCGUGGGUAACCUGCCUCAUACAGGGGGAUAACAGUUAGAAAUGGCUGCUAAUACCGCAUAAGCGCACAGGACCGCAUGGUCCGGUGUGAAAAACUCCGGUGGUAUAAGAUGGACCCGCGUUGGAUUAGCUAGUUGGCAGGGUAACGGCCUACCAAGGCGACGAUCCAUAGCCGGCCUGAGAGGGUGAACGGCCACAUUGGGACUGAGACACGGCCCAGACUCCUACGGGAGGCAGCAGUGGGGAAUAUUGCACAAUGGGGAAACCCUGAUGCAGCGACGCCGCGUGAAGGAAGAAGUAUCUCGGUAUGUAAACUUCUAUCAGCAGGGAAGAUAGUGACGGUACCUGACUAAGAAGCCCGGCUAACUACGUGACAGCCG
This 484-nucleotide ribosomal RNA is filed under the name uncultured bacterium. Its description in RNAcentral is "bacterial SSU rRNA". It matches the Rfam family "Bacterial small subunit ribosomal RNA", at positions 28 to 514 of the family's 1533-position model. The record is from RNAcentral.